This 407-nucleotide ribosomal RNA is filed under the name uncultured bacterium. RNAcentral describes it as "bacterial SSU rRNA". It matches the Rfam family "Bacterial small subunit ribosomal RNA", at positions 8 to 429 of the family's 1533-position model. The record is from RNAcentral.
AGAGUUUGAUCCUGGCUCAGAAUCAACGCUGGCGGCGCGCUUAACACAUGCAAGUCGCACGAGAAAGUGGAGCAAUCCAUGAGUACAGUGGCGUACGGGUGAGUAACACGUGGAUCAUCUACCUUCUAGUGGGGAAUACCCCCGGGAAACUGGGGACAAUACCGCAUAAGCUCGUAAGAGGAAAGCAGCAAUGCGCUGGAAGAGGAGUCCGCGGCUGAUUAGCUAGUUGGCGGGGUAAUGGCCCACCAAGGCGAAGAUCGGUAGCCGGCCUGAGAGGGCACACGGCCACACUGGCACUGAAACACGGGCCAGACUCCUACGGGAGGCAGCAGUGGGGAAUCUUGCACAAUGGAGGAAACUCUGAUGCAGCGACGCCGCGUGAGCGAUGAAGCCCUUCGGGGUGUAAA